Molecule: long non-coding RNA, 1507 nt
Filed under: Equus caballus (horse)
Lineage: Eukaryota; Metazoa; Chordata; Mammalia; Perissodactyla; Equidae
Description: lncRNA (ENSECAG00000059018.1)
Source: RNAcentral
GAUGAUAUAACAUUCUUGAUUCAUGGUUUGGGUCCAGCAUUCUUGAAACAGACAAUAAAAUGACAUAAAGUACAAAGAAAACACUCAACAUAAAAAGUUUGAUAAACGUUCUCCACGAGCUCCAACAAACUCAUCAUACCUCAAUGAUGGCUGAGUUUUAAAGGCGUGUGCACUUGACAAGAUACUUAAACUCAUGUAAACAAAGAUGCUUCAUUGGGAAAAAAAAGAAGAAUGGGCUCCAAUGACCUGAAUCCAAAGUUCCCUUCUAAUCUCACAGUAAUAUAAGAAAUAUCAUGCAGAUUCUUCUUCACACACGUUUACUUGCAUCCUGUCUCGCCAAGAGGGUGAAGAUGCCUUUAAAGUGACUGUCCUAGCUGCUUCCAUUACCCUACCUUCGGGGACUGACUGCAAGAGCAGAAGUUCCAGCUGGAACUCUAAAGAUGAAACCAGAGCUCAUCAAUAUGGAGGAAGAGGCUGCCCCUCUUGAGAAUUCCCACUGGUUGGAGUUAAUUAUACUGAACAGCGGCCUGGCAUCCUGGAUGACAUCGAGGUCAUCUCUGGUGUGGAUGGAUUUUAUGACCUCUAAGAAGUCACCAAGCCCUGCCUGCUUCUGUGUCCAGGCAACAGCCCUGACAUCACAUAGACCCAAAGCGCAGUCCUUCCAGUUCAUUGCAUUUUAGCUCCACUGUGCCGUGGGGCAUGAAGAUCAAGAACUCGGGUCCAUGUACAGAUGCAGCUUAGGAACACAAAAAUUGGAGAUUUCUGUUAAAGACUCUGUUAAAGAUUCUGCUAUAAACUCAUCUGUCUUGAUCACACAGCAUGGCCCCUCCUUCCCUAGGUUGCAAUAAUCCUGCGUCUCCAUGAAGCUCGAUGCAAUUCAUCAACAUCAAUCAAUUUUAACAGAAAUCUUGGGUAGAAAGGCAAACUACAUCAUAGAGUUGCCGUAACUGAACCCAAUGCAGCCAGAGAAGACAAGCAUCUUUGCCAGAGAAACGCAGUAAGGAGCAGACGGAAAAUCAGCUCUGGUUUAAACCAAAAGAAGAAAUGACUUGGGAUUGGAUUAACAUCUUAGACCUAAAAGGUGUCUCCAAGAUCAUCGGGCUCAGCCAUGUUUACUAGGAUACCCCAGCAAGGCAGGAUCAGCCCAAGCAGAAGUGAACGCCUUUCGAGGGAACAGCAAAGGUCAUGCAGGGGGAUGCAGGGAAGAUAUGAUAAGAAUGAUUUUUAUCCUUUCCUGAGCUGGAAUGUGCCUGAAGCAGAAGCUGGGUCACUUCCCUGAGAGUUCAUCUAAGACUUGCAUACACCUAAUGUUACAAAAUUAAAACACCAAAUUCUCCCAGAACUCUCAUCUCCUACCACACUUCAUUCACUUCCAUAGCACACACCACUAUCUAGUCUAUGUGAGUGUACAUUGUCCACGUUCCCCCAUUAGAAUGAGCUCCAUGAUACAGAGGUUUGUAUCUGUUUUGUCCACCAAUGUAUCCCCAGCACCUAGUAUAGUGCCUGG